Molecule: unclassified non-coding RNA, 223 nt
Filed under: fungal sp.
Lineage: Eukaryota; Fungi
Description: partial internal transcribed spacer region
Rfam family: Eukaryotic small subunit ribosomal RNA (bases 1-46)
Source: RNAcentral
AAGUCGUAACAAGGUUUCCGUAGGUGAACCUGCGGAAGGAUCAUUACAAAUCUCGUGGAUGGUGCGGUUGAUCUUGAUUGACCGUGCUUGAAACAUAUAUGCACAGAGCACGUGCAGAGCAUAACUGCUCCGCAUGUUGCUUUGAUGUUCACGCUUGUUUGUUUGACAGAGUUAUGGUAAACUAAAAUAUAGACAACUUUUAACAAUGGAUCUCUUGGCUCUU